AGUAAAAACUGUGAUUAAACCAUCAUGUGGGUGGAAAAAAAUCGUUUACUCCUUUAAAAACCUUCAUGUCCACCCACAGACCAAUCACUGGCUGAUCUCCUUUCUUCUGUCAAAACGAUGUCGGUUUCGGAGCUUGCUUGCACUUACGCUUGUCUGAUCCUCCAUGAUGAUGGCAUCCCCAUCAGUGCAGAGAAGAUUUUACAAUUGGUGAAAGCAGCCAAUGUUACUGUUGAUUCUUACUGGCCUGGUUGUUUGCGACAUAGCUGA
This is a long non-coding RNA of Pistacia vera, 267 nucleotides long. RefSeq lists it as uncharacterized. The transcript has 3 exons. The record is from RefSeq and is a predicted model, not a curated record. NCBI's taxonomy places the organism in Eukaryota, Viridiplantae, Streptophyta, Magnoliopsida, Sapindales, Anacardiaceae.